This 413-nucleotide long non-coding RNA is filed under the name Gallus gallus (chicken). RNAcentral describes it as "long non-coding RNA NONGGAT005730". The record is from RNAcentral. Lineage: Eukaryota; Metazoa; Chordata; Aves; Galliformes; Phasianidae.
CACGGGACAGGGACGCUGCUGCCCUGGUGCAGCAAGCAGGGCUCCUCUGCAUCCUCCCACCCCUCUUAUUUCCCCGCACCUCCCCGACUGAAGCCAACCUCCAGCGCUGCUAAUCCAUCCCAUGGCAGCAUCCCGCUGCUCGCACCUGUGGGGCACGCCGGCCAGCUGGUGUUAAUUGCUGAAAGUUGCUUUCUGAAGGCAGCCCUCCUUGCACAGCAUCCCGCAUCCUAUCCUGCUAAGGAAGGUGCGUUCCCUCUGCAGGAGCCGGCUGGAGCAGGAGCGCAGGAGAUCGGUGGGGAUGCCGGAGCGCAGCAGUGGGUUGGCACCGGCAGCCCCAUGGAGUUUGAGCCGGGCACGGCGGGCUUCUUCCCCCCCGAGGAAAUAUCUCAGGGCAGAUCUAUGCUCUACCAGCU